Molecule: RNA transcript, 2023 nt
Organism: Mustela lutreola (European mink)
Lineage: Eukaryota; Metazoa; Chordata; Mammalia; Carnivora; Mustelidae
Gene: PRKRIP1
Gene name: PRKR interacting protein 1
Exons: 7
Source: RefSeq, a predicted model, not a curated record
GGGUCUGUCGUCAUAAGCGCGCGCCGUCGCCGCUCGCCGAGAGCGAAGAGGAGCUGUGAUGGCGAGUUCGGCUGCUUCUUCAGUGCGACCGCCGAGACCCAAGAAAGAGCCGCAAGCGCUCGUCAUCCCCAAGAAUGCGGCCGAGGAGCAGAAGCUCAAGCUGGAGCGGCUCAUGAAGAACCCGGACAAAGCAGUUCCAAUUCCAGAAAAAAUGAGCGAAUGGGCACCUCGGCCUCCCCCAGAAUUUGUUCGAGAUGUAAUGGGUUCGAGUGCUGGGGCCGGCAGUGGCGAGUUCCACGUGUACAGACAUCUGCGGCGGAGAGAGUACCAGCGACAGGACUACAUGGAUGCCAUGGCAGAGAAGCAAAAAUUGGAUGCAGAGUUUCAGAAGCGACUGGAGAGGAAUAAAAUUGCUGCGGAGGAGCAGACGGCAAAGCGGCGGAAAAAGCGCCAGAAGUUAAAAGAGAAGAAAUUAUUGGCAAAGAAGAUGAAACUUGAACAGAAGAAACAAAAAGAAGUCCUGUCCACCUCUGAACCCGUCACAUGGCCAGAAAUGCCAGCCACUCGCCGGCCCGUGAGCUGAGAGUCAGGGAACAAGAGGUCUCCCGUGGAAAGGAUAAAGGAUGCCAAGAGACGAAACACAUGACAGCUGCAGACCACAGUCCUGAAUUGGUGGCGCUCCCCUGAUUGACCAGCCAUGGCUCCUGUGCGGACAGUUGAUCCAGUCAGUCUCAGGAGCAGCCAUCCAGUAGCUCUGAGGAAGCAUCUGGAACAGAGGAGGAGGAGGAGCAGCCCAGCUUCAUCACGGGGCGAUGACAGUGUUUGCCGUAGUGGCUGUCUGGAGCCUGGCCCGCUCUGCGGCCGAGCCUCCGAAAAGCCUCCACACAACCCAAGGCGAAAGGAGGCUCUGUUUCAGCUCAGUUCUCCUCCUAGCGCCUUGCUGGAGAGAAGCAAGCGGGGAGCCAUGCUGACUGUGGACAGCCCCGCCUGUUGGCAGGCCUCCGUGCCUGUGGGACAGAGAGGACCGUGUCCUGGACCCUUGGGGCACCGCCGAGCAGAGUUCAUUCACGUUCCGGCUGAUGGGGAACACGUAUCACCUUCUGCCCCUGGUGCCUCUUCUCCUGUUGGGACAGUGAUGAGUUUGGACUCGUUUCUGUGACAGAAACGUUUAUUUAGUAAAGAACAGAAACAUCAGGUUUUGUUCAGACCUGUCUAAUGUUGUUCCAAAGCCGCAGGGACGGCUGGGAAGCGAUGUGACAGGGCGGCCUGUUCCCGGGCUUGGUGAAGGAAAUGGCUCUGGCUCUGCGGCAGCCCGCGCUGCACAGUGCAGGACCCCCACUUCCUCCAGCUGAGGGGCAGACUGUACCCCAUGACACGUGCUGCUGCCCAGCACUCCCCAGUCCCCAGGUGUGAACUGGGGAGCCCCAAAGUCGGGCAAAGGGAAAUGUGGGGGCUCAGCCAGGGGCCGAGCCGUAGAAGGGCAACUUGGUGUGGGAAGAGAGCCUUUGAGAAACCCAGUUAAAGACUAGAAAAACAAGCAGGUAGAGCAUCCAAGCUGGCCUGGGGCAGAGCAGAGAAUGGGGAGUCCCAGCCCAACCCGAAGGGAGGGAGUGAAUGGGCCCAAAGCUGCAUUUUUGGCCUGUGGUAAGGGGGAGUUGAACAAAGUGUGAGGUGAGCAGGGGCAGCCUCAGGCCAGCAGGAGGGACAGAGAUGAUUCGGUUUAGAGCCUUUGCUCACUUUGGGGGUUAUUUAUCUCGUGUUCCAAGUUUCUAAGUACAUUUUGUGCCUUUUAUUGAGUGUGAGAGAAGUAAGGAAAUAGUGGUUUUGAGCGAAGGGAAACCAAGAAGCAUUUCACUUGUUUUUUCAUUUUUGCAGUAUGGAUUUUCCUGGCCCCACCCUCGGCCAGGCGACAUCUGUGAGCACUUCUGUCCUUUAAGCAAUUCAAGCCACAGGAGAAUUUUUCUUUCCCAGGGAGCUGAAAUGGAAAAUCAGCACUAAUAAAUUAGCAUGCCCCGUGGCUGUA